AACGCGAAGAACCUUACCUGGUCUUGACAUGUACGGAAUCCUCCAGAGACGGAGGAGUGCCUUCGGGAGCCGUAACACAGGUGCUGCAUGGCUGUCGUCAGCUCGUGUCGUGAGAUGUUGGGUUAAGUCCCGCAACGAGCGCAACCCUUGUCAUUAGUUGCCAUCAUUUAGUUGGGCACUCUAAUGAGACUGCCGGUGACAAGCCGGAGGAAGGUGGGGAUGACGUCAAGUCCUCAUGGCCCUUAUGACCAGGGCUUCACACGUCAUACAAUGGUCGGUACAGGGGGUAGCCAAGCCGCGAGGUGGAGCCAAUCUCACAAAACCGAUCGUAGUCCGGAUUGCACUCUGCAACUCGAGUGCAUGAAGUCGGAAUCGCUAGUAAUCGCAGGUCAGCAUACUGCGGUGAAUACGUUCCCGGGCCUUGUACACACCG
Molecule: ribosomal RNA, 433 nt
Filed under: uncultured Neisseria sp.
Lineage: Bacteria; Pseudomonadati; Pseudomonadota; Betaproteobacteria; Neisseriales; Neisseriaceae
Description: bacterial SSU rRNA
Rfam family: Bacterial small subunit ribosomal RNA
Source: RNAcentral